GCAGGUAUAGCUCAGUGGUAGAGUGCGUGCUUAGCAUGCAUGAGGUCCUGGAUUCAAUCCCCAGUACCUCCA
This is a transfer RNA of Camelus ferus (Wild Bactrian camel), 72 nucleotides long. It matches the Rfam family "tRNA". Rfam says of the family: Transfer RNA (tRNA) molecules are approximately 80 nucleotides in length. Their secondary structure includes four short double-helical elements and three loops (D, anti-codon, and T loops). The record is from Rfam. NCBI's taxonomy places the organism in Eukaryota, Metazoa, Chordata, Mammalia, Artiodactyla, Camelidae.